UCUAGGUUGUAAAUUAAUAAAAAUUUACCGGAGUACUACAAAUAGAUAAUUUAGAAGUUUAAAACUCAAAGGGCUUGGCGGUGUUUUAGACUUUUCAGGGGAACCUGUCUCAUAAUCGAUAAUCCGCGUUAUACCUAACCUUUUGUGGUAGAUCAGUUUGUAUACCGUCGUCGGCAGGUAACUUUUAAAAAUAGAUAAGUUGGCGAUAAAAAUUUUUUUAUUUAGACGUCAGAUCAAGGUGCAGCUCAUAAAAAGGUGAAGAUGGGUUACAGUUAUAUAAUUAUAAUUACGAAUAAAUGAAGGGAUAUAUUUGUUUAGAAGGUGGACUUGAAAGUAAAAUGAAUUAUAUAAAUACUUUGAAUAUAGCUCUAAAACGUGC
This 379-nucleotide ribosomal RNA is filed under the name Amoria hunteri. Its description in RNAcentral is "partial 12S ribosomal RNA". Lineage: Eukaryota; Metazoa; Mollusca; Gastropoda; Neogastropoda; Volutidae. The record is from RNAcentral.